Molecule: non-coding RNA, 1938 nt
Organism: Manis javanica (Malayan pangolin)
Lineage: Eukaryota; Metazoa; Chordata; Mammalia; Pholidota; Manidae
Source: RefSeq, a predicted model, not a curated record
GCUUGGGAACAGGCCCGUCCUUGGUGAGAAGAGCAAAUAAAAGCGCAUGGCCUACUUCCAGCAACCUCAUUGUUUCUCACUUGGAGAUUAAAAUAAUAAAUACACAGGCACACGGAGGCUGGCGAGCGCGGGGGGAAUUCGGUGGCAUCAGAGCUGCGGCCCAAGGCCCCAUGCAGCAAGGGGCUGCCUGCAGGAGGCGUGUCAGGAAGGGUGCACGUAUGAGAGCAUACGGAGUUUUGCCUGCCUCAGGGCAGAACGUCAGCAGCUGGGCAUUCGUACAGAAGCUACCAAGAGUAAGAUGGUGGCAGACAUGGCAUCCGCUUUCUGUCCUCAGCCCAGUGGAGCUCCGGGUUCUGCAGAAAGGGAAGUCUUCAGGACUCCGACACUGUCCGCCUGGACCUAACGUUCUAGAGUCAAGACUGCACGUUCAUCCAUGCAGCGUCCCUCCCGACGUCCCGCCUCUGUGCUGCCGGUCCCCACGAGGCGCCCUGGUCACCUGGCUCCUCCUCCUCGCCCACGCCCAGGUACUCUCCGUCACUGUUCCUUAAGCCUUCACCCUAGUCCUUCCUUCCUCCCCAUAUCACAAUUGCCACCACCUCUUACGUUUGACAGAAAACAGGAGGCGGUAGAAGCAGCUCUGCAGGGCCUGGUUCCUGUGCAGGCUCUACCCUGGCUCUGAAGAAAAUCAAUGCUUCGGCUUUCAUUUCCCUGUCCCUUAAAGGAUGAGUUUGACAAGACAUUCGCGAAGGGUCCUCUGGCUCAUGUACAGGGUACGAGUCUCUGGUUCACCCCAUCCAGCCCGGCCUGAGGUCUGCUGUAUUCCUCACAGGCACUCAGCAGCCUGAGAAGAAAGGCCUCAUUCAGGAGGGGAACCCGGCCGGCUGGGAGAUGGCUCCCUCCACGCGCUCCCUGGCUCCCUUCCCUGCCAGCCUGAACUUUUACUGCCUGCAACCUUGUGACUCUGGAUUACCUGACCUUGGAUCCUGCCAGCCCUGCACUGCACAGGGACCUCUUCUGACCUGCCGCCUGUAACUGGGGCAGCUCGCCUGCUGACGCUGGACCCCGUUCUCUUUCCACCGACCAGGCUGCCCUGUGGUUGUACAACCGGGAUGCUGCUAGCUGGGCUCCGGAUCCCUCCUGGGCCGUCACCAUGACCCCUAUGGGUGCGCCUGCCUGGUCCCUGGUCCCUGAAGUGUCCUCUGAGUUCACCCCUGCUGCUAAGCAGGAUUUAGUCUGUUUGUGAUUGAGUCGUUCACUCCACAAACGUCCACUAUGAUGUCUACUCCAUGACACGCGCAGCUCUGAGGCAAGGGAUAUUUCAGGAUGGAAUAGAAACACUUCUCAUCAACACAUCCCAUUUGCCAGGACAAACUUCCCUACUCAACCAAGACGUCAUCCAGCUCACCACUGUCAAAUUCUUUCACUCAUUUAUUGGGCAUUUAUUAUGUGCCAGGCACUCUAGUAAAAUAUCAAUUCUAGGAAGUGCAACUUCCAUGUAGUACACUGGUUAUUUAUUACACAGCCUGAGCUCUGCAGCCAGAACCUCAGUUAUGGGACCUUCAGUAGUUACAAAACCUCUCUGAGCCUUAGUUUUCUCAAUUGAAAGUAGGGGUAAUAGUAUUAACUAACUGCCAAAUGUGUCAGAGGAAUAAAUGAGACAGUCCAUGUAAAAUGCUUUGAAUAGUAUAUGGCACACAGCACACACUUGGAUAUUAAUAACUUUUAUUUUUAUGUGACUCCUAAAGGUGCCAACAUCUAAAUAAAUGUGCCAAGAACUUUGAGAGUCCCCGUUCCACCUUAUACAACCAACAUCCCAAUGGCGCCCUUGUAUGUGAAUAUUGACAAAAUGAAGCCCCAACUUCAACAUCACUAGCAAAGAAUAACAGACCCCUGUGCCAAGGACUAUGUAUCACCUCAGUGCUUUCACACGGGCAAACC